CCAAAUCCCUUUGAAUCCAACAACGAUGCAAUGAUGACAUUAACCACUCUGCUACCUAUUGCUUCUAAGAAUUUCUUGUUUCCAGUUUGUGUAAAUUCUUGGAGAAAAUAUAAUUUUUGUCUGGGCUGCAAUCCAAAAUCUGCUACAAUACCUCAUACAAUACAAAAAAAAAUCACACAAUACUGUCAGUCUGGUAUACAUUACUGUUGAUUAUGGUAUACAUGAUUUUUCACAUUAAAUUUCUUACAGAGGAAAUCCCUCAGAAGAAACUGGAGAGUAAGAUACUUUCUUCCCCAGUGCAAGAAAGCGGAGCAUACCAAAGUAGUGCAAAAACCUGGAAAGCAUCUCAAUGCUCACCAUUUGGUUUGCCAAAUAAUCUGCAACAUCUUAAGUCUGAGAUGGAAGAGAUCCCAUGCCCUAAACAAGAACACUAUACACCAUACGCUACAACUGCCAAAGAGGGAGAUGACAGCGCCAGAGCUGGUCAGCAAAAUGAAGAUGGUGAAAACGCCAGUACAUCUGAAAAAGAAAGACCAUUGCCAACUCAAGCAAAGAAAGAAGAUGGAAGUGGUUUUAGCAGCAGUCCUAGGAGGAUCGGGGAACGAGUUAAAGGAAAACGGAAUGUCACGAUCACCCCUGUUAGACAUUCCAGGAGUUACAUAAAGAAAGCAGGUGAGAAAAGAGUGGUGGAGAGAAAUUAAACCUUAAUUUUUCUGCGUACAUGUGCAUGGUCAAAACACAGUACGGUGACUUUUUAAUGUAUACACAGUAUUAAUUUCUUGUAUCAUUAUACAUAUCUUUUCAGCGCUCUUUUUCAUGAUGUCAAGUAGUUUUCUCAUCUCUGGUAAGUACUUACAUGUUUAGCCAUUUAUACAAGAAAACCCAGGCAAGAAACAUGAACGUGAACCAACGCUAGACCAGGGUGUUGGUGCUCACCUGCAGCUCUGUGAUCCCUUCUUGUACCCCACAAAUCAUGUGAAAUUCACCAAUACCCUCAUAAGCUCAUAAUGAGAAAUAAAAGCAUAAUUUUAAGAAACUGAAAAAUGGAA
RNAcentral lists this long non-coding RNA (1049 nucleotides) under Scleropages formosus (Asian bonytongue). Its description in RNAcentral is "lncRNA (ENSSFOG00015024818.1)". The record is from RNAcentral. Lineage: Eukaryota; Metazoa; Chordata; Actinopteri; Osteoglossiformes; Osteoglossidae.